ACUAAAUAUAAUUUUCCUCAGCAAAAUAGAAUAAGGGGACUGUUGAUACUUAGUUGAUUCUAAACAUCUAUUCUGGUAAUUUUGUAAAAGAUUUCCAAUCUUUGAAUAUAAAAAAGAAAGGUCGAAGCAAGACUUUUUGAUUCCCUUCUACUGCUAAUGUAAUGUAUACUCAUUGGGUCUUAAAUUACAUCGGAUAGCCCGGGGGAGAAUUCUACUACUAGUUAGGUAAAGUCCUUUCUAUACUGUAAUCUACAUAUAUAGACUCGCGAGAAUCUCUGAGUGUUCAGGCAUUCAAUCACUAUUAGAUUGAGAUUGGAUAGAUUUUUUAUAGAAAAAGUAAAAAAAAGAAAGGGCUCUCUUAUUUUAUUACUGGACGUUCCAUUCCAUUAGUAACAUUCCUUUGUAGKGUCAUKGUGWWUUUWACUUGUGUUUAGUCUUUCCACAUUAGAAAUCAUAUAGGAAUUUUUGAAAUGGCUUUAUUUUAUUGGUUCAUCAAUAGUGUUUGGUCAGAAUCCCUUUUUGACUCUGGACCAUUCAUUSUASUAUUAUUAGUGAGCAAUAAUGGAA
This 567-nucleotide unclassified non-coding RNA is filed under the name Senecio sotikensis. Its description in RNAcentral is "partial trnC-petN intergenic spacer". The record is from RNAcentral. Lineage: Eukaryota; Viridiplantae; Streptophyta; Magnoliopsida; Asterales; Asteraceae.